CCUGGCGGCGAUAGCGCGGUGGUCCCACCUGACCCCAUGCCGAACUCAGAAGUGAAACGCCGUAGCGCCGAUGGUAGUGUGGGGUCUCCCCAUGUGAGAGUAGGGAACUGCCAGGU
This 116-nucleotide ribosomal RNA is filed under the name Klebsiella oxytoca. Lineage: Bacteria; Pseudomonadati; Pseudomonadota; Gammaproteobacteria; Enterobacterales; Enterobacteriaceae. RNAcentral also lists the same sequence under 11 other names. The record is from RNAcentral.